CAAUAUUAGCUCUGGUUCUCCCCUCCGGUAGUAUGACUGGAGGCAAGCCACUCAAUUUCUCUCACCUUCCAAACUCCCAUCUGUAAAUGGAGAUAAAAAUAGUAUCUAUCUCCAACUAUUGCUUUGAGGUUUAGUGAGCACUUUCUAUGAGAACAGUAUGGUGCAGGAUUCUAGUGAUACUCUGCAGAACCUAGCCUUAAGUUUACAAACACAGCUAAGGGAGGGAAAUAAAUGCUGAUACAGUUGCUUUUGGUGGCUGUUGUUAUUGUCUAGUACUUGGAGUGAGAGCAUUAAUGGAGGGUUAAAACAAAACAAAAAACAAGACAGCUUAGUAUUGAUAAAUUCAAUACUCAAGACACCUGAAGUUUCUUUUCUCUCUAAACGUUUAUUUUGAAUUCCUUUAAGGCAAAACAUGAGAAGAAUCACAUAUGCACAAUGGGGAAAGGCAAAGGAGAAAACAUUCAAAAUGAAAAAGCUAAGAUGUAUGCCCCAGGAACUCCAUGGUUAGUUGAAGAUCAUGCCAGAGAAAAGAACGAAUUCCCAUAUCUGGACCCAUGGUGAAGCAUUCCAUAUAAUCAUGGUUUCUUUCUUAAAUUUUAUUGAUGACAAUGUUCUAGAAGUUUUAUAGUAUCUGCCUUCCCAAACAGAAUAAAAUGAAAAGAAUUUCACCUGUAUUGCUCAUUCGGGUCACACAGGCAUCUUCCUCAGGGACAUCAGUGAACUUUUCAUACUACUUGAGGCUCCUUGAUCCUGUACCUUUGAUUCCAACCCCCUCUACUCUGUACCUGUCAAACCUCAAGUUUUCUGCCUCGAAUGUGUGGGGGGUUGGAGAAAAGAGAACUAAGAAAAGAAACCUGUACAGAUUCUAUAGGAUUAUAAAAUUAAGAAAUAAUUUGGUUUUGAUAAAACCCUGGGGGCUUCUGAGUCAUCUGCCUAAAUUUUGAAGCAAAUACUCAGACAUAUUUUAUGGCAGCUCAAGAGACCUUUUUCCUACUCUUCAGGUAUGUUCUCGGUAGCUGAGGUUAUCUGAUACAUUGCCUCCAAAUAAGUGAGGUGGGAUUGCAGUGGCCACCUCACCAGCUCUUGGAAAAACUACAAAGUACUCCCUUCAAUAAAAGGUU
This 1121-nucleotide long non-coding RNA is filed under the name Canis lupus familiaris (dog). Its description in RNAcentral is "lncRNA (ENSCAFG00845004447.1)". The record is from RNAcentral. Lineage: Eukaryota; Metazoa; Chordata; Mammalia; Carnivora; Canidae.